RNAcentral lists this long non-coding RNA (991 nucleotides) under Medicago truncatula (barrel medic). RNAcentral's name for it is "lncRNA gene40211". Lineage: Eukaryota; Viridiplantae; Streptophyta; Magnoliopsida; Fabales; Fabaceae. The record is from RNAcentral.
UGAAUCAUUUGUAUCUAUUCUCUCUAGGGUCUCCAAACCUCAUUGUCCAUUUCUUCUUCAUAUUAAACACUUUUUCUAAGAUCAUUGUGGUCCUUUGAGUCAUAGAUUUCUAGAGUACUAUAUGGAUUGUAAGUUGAUUGCGUUCAAGGAUAUUGAUUGGGAAUCAAGGAUGUAAAGUGAAUUGAGUAGUUUCAUUCCACCUCCAACAGUAUUGGGGGUUCUUUCUAAAGUUCUUGUGUCCAAGGGGAUCCAAUUGCCGGACGGAGCAUCAAAGAGUUUCAAUGAAGAGCAUCAAGGGUUGCACAUGUGAUUGAGGAUUGAAGACAUCAAGAAGCAUCAAUUUCAAAGGUUAUUUGAAGAUUGGAGGAGUGAUUGCAUAGGAAUUGAAGAACUAGGGUCUUUUCAAGGAAUUCUUGUAACCACAUUGUAAUCAAACACAUUCAUAUUCGAAUGGAAGUCCUUGGUGGAAACAUUUUCCAUCAAGAAGAGUGGAGGUAGGUCGAAGCAAGGAAGAAAGGGGGAACUAUUAUAAAUCUCGAUGUCUUCACUCUUUUCUAUCCUCUUUAAUUUAGAUUAAUCAUGUAUUUGAUUGCUUGAUAAAUUGUUAGAGUAGAAAUUGAUUCUGAUCUAGGUUUAUUUUGUUAAAUUUGAGUUACUUCUUUGAAUUAGCUUUUACCUCACUUUUUAUAGAUCACAAUUGGUUUCAAUCUAUUGUUAGUUUAUCAAAUACAUACACAAUUGUGUUCAUUAGUAUAAUUGAUUAAUUGGUCUUAGAUUUGGUUUGAGAUUUUCCUUGUUUUGUAACUUGUGUGAAAAUUAUUUAUAAUAGUUUGUGUUAAGAUUUGACUUAGAAUCUCUCAAUUCCAAGUGAAUCUUUUUAUUUAUGCAUAGUGUUAAUAAUUUUGUCAUUGCCAUUAGAUCAAUCAUAAAUCCAAUACGUUGUCGAUUGUAUUCAAAAAUUGUUUUCCCUAUAAACUCGAUAAACUUUUAA